ACGAACGCUGGCGGCGUGCUUAACACAUGCCAGUCGAACGGAAAGGCCCUGCUUUUGCGGGGUGCUCGAGUGGCGAACGGGUGAGUAACACGUGAGUAACCUGCCCUUGACUUUGGGAUAACUUCAGGAAACUGGGGCUAAUACCGGAUAGGAGCUCCUGCUGCAUGGUGGGGGUUGGAAAGUUUCGGCGGUUGGGGAUGGACUCGCGGCUUAUCAGCUUGUUGGUGGGGUAGUGGCUUACCAAGGCUUUGACGGGUAGCCGGCCUGAGAGGGUGACCGGCCACAUUGGGACUGAGAUACGGCCCAGACUCCUACGGGAGGCAGCAGUGGGGAAUAUUGCACAAUGGGCGGAAGCCUGAUGCAGCAACGCCGCGUGCGGGAUGACGGCCUUCGGGUUGUAAACCGCUUUCGCCUGUGACGAAGCGUGAGUGACGGUAAUGGGUAAAGAAGCACCGGCUAACUACGUG
This 467-nucleotide ribosomal RNA is filed under the name uncultured bacterium. Its description in RNAcentral is "partial 16S ribosomal RNA". It matches the Rfam family "Bacterial small subunit ribosomal RNA", at positions 29 to 507 of the family's 1533-position model. The record is from RNAcentral.